GGCAAGAAUAUACAUGAAAAAUUAUUAAUGGUCAAAGAAAUAGGUUAUUAUAAAGGUUCUAGCAAAACAGUCCCUGAAGCCUGUUUUGGCUGCACUAUAAAUAUGGCUUAAGGACAGAAUACCUCACCCUUAAUCGAAAUUUGCUGUUUAAGCACAAUAAGGAGAAGAAGAAGGAAAGGAGAAGAAGAAGAAGAAGAAAAGAGAAGGAGAGAAGGGAAGAAGAGGAAUUAGAGAGGGAGCUGUUGCAUCUCAGGUAGCUCUUGGACUAGUACUGCACCCAGAUGACGAGACCAGUAUUUUUCCGACUACCGGUGUUGAUCUUAUGGGAGUGGCCUUGGACCUUUUGGCCAAUAUUCUAGAGAAUGAGACAAAGCAUGGACCCGACUGUGGGUGUGAUGACUGUGCCUUUGGAGGCUGACUCAUUGAGUGUUAUGAAACAUAUCACCAAAAUUAAUUUUUUUUGUCAGUAUUCCGUUGUGUAAUAUAUAUUAUGGUGUAGUGUAUACUAUGAUGAUCUGAUCAAUAUGCGAACAUUUUGGACAUGAAUUACGAAACACUUUUUGACUUGUAAAAUGUAUACCUUGUCAUGUAGUGGACACUGGAAUAUAUAUGUAUGUGGAACUUACUAUGUA
Molecule: long non-coding RNA, 632 nt
Organism: Macadamia integrifolia
Lineage: Eukaryota; Viridiplantae; Streptophyta; Magnoliopsida; Proteales; Proteaceae
Exons: 2
Source: RefSeq, a predicted model, not a curated record